This 253-nucleotide ribosomal RNA is filed under the name uncultured bacterium. Its description in RNAcentral is "partial 16S ribosomal RNA". It matches the Rfam family "Bacterial small subunit ribosomal RNA", at positions 524 to 776 of the family's 1533-position model. The record is from RNAcentral.
UACAGAGGUGGCAAGCGUUGUUCGGAAUUACUGGGCGUAAAGGGCGCGUAGGCGGUCCUGUAAGUCCCGCGUGAAAUCCCCCGGCUCAACUGGGGAACUGCGCGGGAAACUGUGGGGCUUGAGUUCGGGAGAGGGAAGCGGAAUUCCGGGUGUAGCGGUGAAAUGCGUAGAUAUCCGGAGGAACACCGGUGGCGAAGGCGGCUUCCUGGACCGACACUGACGCUGAGGCGCGAAAGCGUGGGGAGCAAACAGG